CUUGACGAUCAUAGAGACGUUGAACCACCUGAUCCCAUCCCGAACUCAGAAGUGAAAAGCGUCAUC
This 66-nucleotide ribosomal RNA is filed under the name Bacillus safensis. Lineage: Bacteria; Bacillati; Bacillota; Bacilli; Caryophanales; Bacillaceae. The record is from RNAcentral.